ACCCACGUCCACUGAAGAGUUCAAAUUUUCUUCAAGAGACCGAAUUUAUUUAUUAUUACUAUAUCAUCCAUCCGGGCUCAACUGUCAGGGACGACGCAUCAAGAUUUUCUUUUCUUUUCUUUUUUCCCUUUUCCUCUCCUUUCUUUUCUUCUGUCCCCUUCUCGUCUUUUCUUCAUCACAAGGCGCGAAACAGAUUUCUUCAGCAAAGUGACGUAUGUGGCUUUCUCGCGAUCGAAGGCUGCGAGCUACUUACUAGCUUAGCUCCACGCUGGGUUAUUUCUCUGUACGCGCCCACCCCUUUGACGGGGCCAGCUGACGGCUGUUUGGGUUUGAUGGAGGCAAACAAAGGAAGGAUUGUAAAAAAAAAUAAAAAUAAAAAUAAAAAAGUAUGAUCAUAAGAUCACAGCUUAAUUUAGUUCGUAGAACUCGUUUCGUGGCGUGGAAAUAAAAUACAAGGAUGAGAUUUGCCCGUCAUUGACGACAUUACCGGCUCUUACGGGGGGUUUGUUUUUGAAAUUAUGUCUGUUCACCUUUCGAGUUUGUGGUGGUGGGAAGGGGUUUUUUUUCUUUUCUUUUCUUUUCUUCCUGGUAGAUUAGUUGUCUCUUAUCCCCUCUUUUAUUCUUUUAUGAGAAGUUGAAGGAUCGGUCAGUUGCGGAUAACGUCCAUUUAUUUACUCCUGGCUCGACUUAAUUUGUUAAUAAUACAACGCAGACAUGGAAUUGGAUUUUAAAAGCAUCCCACGCAGAAUUCCUAGCUCGGUAACUCCAUUGCCGGAGAACGACAGGUGUGGCAGUCGUCGCACACACACAUACAUCCCCCUCCCCUCCUAAACUCCUCGCGGCAAAAACAGCAAAUUGUGAUUAAAAAUAUACAAGCAAUCAACCUUAACUCCCAGCUGGCACAGUGGACGGCGGAUAUACAGCGCCAACUCGAUAAGAAACCUCGCAAGUCUCAAUUUCAUCGCCCCAUCAUUCUAUCCACCCAUCUCGCCUCGUGGCAAACCGCUCUGACUCUUCCUGGCCAAUUUCAACUUCAGUUUUUGCCUCUCCGCCCAUUCGCGGCUAGCUAUCCUGCCGCGCUCCGCCGCUUCAGUUCGUGCUCUUCUCGCCGCCUCCUCCUUCUCCCGCCUUUCACGGUCCCGUUCAAUUUCAUGAAUCCGGUCGCGCGCAAAAAUCUCCUUCCCGCGCGAUCUUUGCACGAGCGGUGUAGCAUCAGCCGCCCUCGGGCAGGAUGUCGCAGGGGUGAUUGGGGAUCUGGAAGACGAAACUGGUGACAUCUCACUUUGCUGCUUAUCGCGAUCCUUAGCGGGGGAUUUGUUGGGCGGGCCUGAAACCCCAUUUGCAAUGUCCGGAUUCGCAGGUCGUGCUGGAGUACUUGCGGACGUCGUCACUGAUUUCCCUGUAGCAUUCGUGUCUGGCUGCGUAUGACUGGACGCGGCAUUCCUUGUCAUAGCAGAACCUAAGGAGCUGG
This 1471-nucleotide small RNA is filed under the name Histoplasma ohiense. RNAcentral describes it as "hypothetical lncRNA". Lineage: Eukaryota; Fungi; Ascomycota; Eurotiomycetes; Onygenales; Ajellomycetaceae. The record is from RNAcentral.